This is a non-coding RNA of Nicotiana tabacum (common tobacco), 262 nucleotides long. Lineage: Eukaryota; Viridiplantae; Streptophyta; Magnoliopsida; Solanales; Solanaceae. The record is from RefSeq and is a predicted model, not a curated record.
CUUUAGGGAUUUGGGAGUUUUGGGUUAGCAAUUUUAGGGAUUUUUGGUUAACAAAUAGAUUUGGGGAUUUGGGAAUUUAGGUUUGCUGGUGAUUUGAGGAAGGUGGAAUUUAAGUUGUCUGGUGAUUUAAGGAAGGUGGAAUUUAGGUUGUGUGGUGAUUUUGAUUUGAUCUGCUUCCUAAGAAUGAGCUUGAGCAAGAUGAAAGCAUUGGAAGAAACGAAGAAAUUUUAAUUUAGUUAUUGUAUUUACCAAAAAAAAAAAA